RNAcentral lists this long non-coding RNA (604 nucleotides) under Equus caballus (horse). RNAcentral's name for it is "lncRNA (ENSECAG00000044530.1)". The record is from RNAcentral. Lineage: Eukaryota; Metazoa; Chordata; Mammalia; Perissodactyla; Equidae.
GUGAGCGUGCGGUGGCGGGGCUCGGGCUGAUGGCUGCCGAAGAGUGGGUGCUGUUCGCUCGUGGGCACUCAGUCCGCAGCAGCCUGCAGGGGUGCGCGGGGAGCGUUGGGUCUCGGCUCUGCCCGUCUCUGGGGGACGGUCAGACACCACCUGGCCACACCAGGUAGUGCUAAGUAGGUGGGCUCAGUCCUGAUCCGAGGGCCGGAGUGGGGCUUCCCUGGCAGAGGACGUGCUUCGGAAGGGCCCGGGCUGAUGCUGGGUCAUCGCUGCGGCGGGUGGAGAUGUGUGGAGGCUGGAGAGAAGGGGCCAGGACAGGACCUUCCACAGUGCCACGUCCCGGUUCCCCAGCAUCCUGCCUGGCAGCGGACGGGCCGAGAUCUGGCCACGUGGAUUUUGUUCAGCCGCCCAGGGAGCUCUGGACCCAAGGCAGGGCGGAGCUCCCUCAGCCGUCCUGGAGUGAGGAGGGCAGAGCCGAGCGGAUGGCGCUCUGAUGGGGUUGGUGAGGCGGGAGACCCCCACAGGGCUCAGUCGAGGGGUAACGGAGACUUGGGGAAGAGGGGGUGUCACCGCAGAGGUGAGAGGGUUUGCAGGGAAGGUGGAAGCC